RNAcentral lists this ribosomal RNA (521 nucleotides) under Fusarium sp. 6315. RNAcentral describes it as "eukaryotic LSU rRNA". The stretch from base 153 to 306 matches the Rfam family "5.8S ribosomal RNA". Lineage: Eukaryota; Fungi; Ascomycota; Sordariomycetes; Hypocreales; Nectriaceae. The record is from RNAcentral.
GAUGACGUCGGGCGGCGCUCCGUACCCCUGUGCCAUACCAUCUUGUUGCCUCGGCGGAUCAGCCCGCUCCCGGUAAAACGGGACGGCCCGCCAGAGGACCCCUAAACUCUGUUUCUAUAUGUAACUUCUGAGUAAAACCAUAAAUAAAUCAAAACUUUCAACAACGGAUCUCUUGGUUCUGGCAUCGAUGAAGAACGCAGCAAAAUGCGAUAAGUAAUGUGAAUUGCAGAAUUCAGUGAAUCAUCGAAUCUUUGAACGCACAUUGCGCCCGCCAGUAUUCUGGCGGGCAUGCCUGUUCGAGCGUCAUUUCAACCCUCAAGCACAGCUUGGUGUUGGGACUCGCGUUAAUUCGCGUUCCCCAAAUUGAUUGGCGGUCACGUCGAGCUUCCAUAGCGUAGUAGUAAAACCCUCGUUACUGGUAAUCGUCGCGGCCACGCCGUUAAACCCCAACUUCUGAAUGUUGACCUCGGAUCAGGUAGGAAUACCCGCUGAACUUAAGCAUAUCAAAGCCGGGGAGGAAA